Brassica rapa (field mustard) is the source of this 999-nucleotide long non-coding RNA. RefSeq lists it as uncharacterized. NCBI's taxonomy places the organism in Eukaryota, Viridiplantae, Streptophyta, Magnoliopsida, Brassicales, Brassicaceae. The record is from RefSeq and is a predicted model, not a curated record.
UUGCUUUUGGUAUAUGCUCUACGUUAGAUUUAAGCUUGCACUGCUUUCUCUAUCUUUUAAUCUCUGAGUUUUGGGCAUUGCUUUGUUGCGUUAUUAAUUGGUUUGAUUGCUUGGGAUUCAAGUGAAGAAGACGUUUGUAUGAGGUCUCAAGUGCUUGGACAACAUUGGCGUUUUUGUUGUUCAGAUGUAAUCUCUUUAGCUGCUUGUUUAGAUCUGAGAUACUUCUGAAUCAUACUGAGUGACAACCAUAUCAUCCACAUAACAAUACAAAACCGCUCUACAUAAAUUCGUCUUAGUAAAAAGAUUUGUUGAAAAACAGCUCCUUAAUAAUCUAUUGUUGUGUCUUGGAGUUGUUAUAAUCGUCAUAUUAAUGAUUGUGUGACAGCUUUUUAUAUGAUAAGUAGCAGACUAGCAGUGUAGCACCUUGGCUCCUAUGGCUUUGAUAGCUCAAGUCUCGCCCACUUGACUGGACUUCUUCGUCAGUCAAACCUCCAGUAUACAUCAGAUGCUUCCUUUCCUCCACUAUAUCAUGCACACAAUCAUUCCAAAACAAAAAUCUUAUUUCUUAAGAGAUCGAUAUAGGUAGGAGGUAAGAAACUCAAAAGUGAAGUUUAUUGUAAGUGUUACAUUGACAAUGAAUCUUCUGCACCUGCCCUAUGCGAUGAAUUCUCAUGAUCGCUUGCUCUUCCACUGCUGGAUUCCACCAUGGAACUUUUUUUUUCAAGAAUCAGAGCAAAAGAUCAUAAGAGAAAAUUAGGCUUGAAAAAGUGGGGUACCAUGAAGACGUUUGAAGCAGCGGUUAAACUCAGACUAAACUCCUCUAGCUUUAGGAGACAUAAAGUUCUCCUGAUACACAACAAAACCAUAAUGAUCUUUAAGCUCUAUGCUCGAUUCAAACAGAGUUGGAGAGUUUGUUUACUUACUGUUUUGUAUUUGGUUUCAUUGACCUCUUUCAACGCCUGCCAGCUUUUCAUCAAAUCUAAAAACUCAACUCCUCUU